GAUGAACGCUGGCGGCGUGCCUAAUACAUGCAAGUCGAGCGAACAGACGAGGAGCUUGCUCCUCUGACGUUAGCGGCGGACGGGUGAGUAACACGUGGAUAACCUACCUAUAAGACUGGGAUAACUUCGGGAAACCGGAGCUAAUACCGGAUAAUAUAUUGAACCGCAUGGUUCAAUAGUGAAAGACGGUUUUGCUGUCACUUAUAGAUGGAUCCGCGCCGCAUUAGCUAGUUGGUAAGGUAACGGCUUACCAAGGCAACGAUGCGUAGCCGACCUGAGAGGGUCAUCGGCCACACUGGAACUGAGACACGGUCCAGACUCCUACGGGAGGCAGCAGUAGGGAAUCUUCCGCGAUGGGCGAAUGCCUGACGGAGCAACGCCGCGUGAGUGAUGAAGUUCUUCGGAUCGUAAAACUCUGUUAUUAGGGAAGAACAAAUGUGUAAUUAACUAUGCACGUCUUGACGGUACCUGAUCAGAAAGCCACGGCUAACUACGUG
RNAcentral lists this ribosomal RNA (497 nucleotides) under uncultured bacterium. RNAcentral describes it as "partial 16S ribosomal RNA". It matches the Rfam family "Bacterial small subunit ribosomal RNA", at positions 28 to 507 of the family's 1533-position model. The record is from RNAcentral.